CCUACGGGAGGCAGCAGUGAGGAAUAUUGGUCAAUGGGCUUACGCCUGAACCAGCCAAGUCGCGUGAGGGAAGACUGCCCUAUGGGUUGUAAACCUCUUUUGUCAGGGAGCAACGCCGUCUACGUGUAGCCGUACUUAGAUUACCUGAAGAAAAAGCAUCGGCUAACUCCGUGCCAGCGGCCGCGUUAAUACGGAGGAUGCGAGCUUUAUCCGGAUUUAUUGGGUUAAAAGGGUGCGUAGGCGGAAUGUCAAGUCAGCGGUAAACUUUCGGGGCUCAACCUAGUCGUGCCGUUGAAACUGGCAUUCUUGAGUGAGCGAGAGGUAGGCGGAAUGCGUGGUGUAGCGGUGAAAUGCAUAGAUAUCACGCAGAACUCCGAUUGCGAAGGCAGCAUACUGGAGCUCAACUGACGCUCAUGCACGAAAGCGUGGGUAUCGAACAGGAUUAGAUACCCCAGUAGUC
RNAcentral lists this ribosomal RNA (460 nucleotides) under uncultured bacterium. Its description in RNAcentral is "partial 16S ribosomal RNA". It matches the Rfam family "Bacterial small subunit ribosomal RNA", at positions 338 to 795 of the family's 1533-position model. The record is from RNAcentral.